UCCUGGCUCAGAUUGAACGCUGGCGGCAGGCCUAACACAUGCAAGUCGAGCGGAUGAAAGGGGCUUGCUCCUGGAUUCAGCGGCGGACGGGUGAGUAAUGCGCAGGAAUCUACCUCGUAGUGGGGGAUAACGUUUCGAAAGGAACGCUAAUACCGCAUACGUUCUGAGGAAGAAAGCAGGGGACCUUCGGGCCUUGCGCUAUGAGAUGAGCUUGCGUCCGAUUAGCUAGUUGGUGGGGUAAAGGCCUACCAAGGCGACGAUCGGUAACUGGUCUGAGAGGAUGAUCAGUCACACUGGAACUGAGACACGGUCCAGACUCCUACGGGAGGCAGCAGUGGGGAAUAUUGGACAAUGGGGGCAACCCUGAUCCAGCCAUGCCGCGUGUGUGAAGAAGGCCUUCGGGUUGUAAAGCACUUUAAGCGGGGAGGAAGGGCUUGAGGCUAAUAUCCUUGAGCAUUGACGUUACCCGCAGAAUAAGCACCGGCAAACUUCGUG
This 495-nucleotide ribosomal RNA is filed under the name uncultured bacterium. RNAcentral's name for it is "bacterial SSU rRNA". It matches the Rfam family "Bacterial small subunit ribosomal RNA", at positions 17 to 507 of the family's 1533-position model. The record is from RNAcentral.